GGGAUGAUCUGCUGAACCAAUCAUAAAUAAAACAACAUAGCGUAUAACUGUGUAUGAUGACAAAUUGUAGAAGUUAUAUUCACAAAUGGCCACUCACACUUUUGCUGAAGUUUGCAAUCCUUGAAUAUUUUCCUAUUCAAGGCUUGCAAACUUCAGCAAAAGUGUGAGUGGCCAUUUGUGAAUAUAACUUCUACAAUUUGUCAUCAUACACAGUUAUACGCUAUGUUGUUUUAUUUAUGAUUGGUUCAGCAGAUCAUCCC
Pelobates cultripes (western spadefoot toad) is the source of this 260-nucleotide non-coding RNA. The record is from the annotation of a GenBank genome assembly. NCBI's taxonomy places the organism in Eukaryota, Metazoa, Chordata, Amphibia, Anura, Pelobatidae.